RNAcentral lists this ribosomal RNA (468 nucleotides) under uncultured bacterium. Its description in RNAcentral is "partial 16S ribosomal RNA". It matches the Rfam family "Bacterial small subunit ribosomal RNA", at positions 28 to 507 of the family's 1533-position model. The record is from RNAcentral.
GACGAACGCUGGCGGCGUGCUUAACACAUGCAAGUCGAACGGAAAGGCCCUGCUUUUGUGGGGUGCUCGAGUGGCGAACGGGUGUGUAACACGUGAGUAACCUGCCCUGGACUUUGGGAUAACUUCAGGAAACUGGGGCUAAUACCGGAUAGGAGAUCCUGCUGCAGGGUGGGGGUUGGAAAGUUUAGGCGGUUGGGGAUGGACGGGCGGCUUAUCAGCUUGUUGGGGGGGUAGUGGCUUACCAAGGCUUUGACGGGUAGCCGGCCUGGGAGGGUGACCGGCCACAUUGGGACUGCGGUACGGCCCAGACUCCUACGGGAGGCAGCAGUGGGAAAUCUUGCCCAGUGAGCGGAAGCCUGAUGCAGCGACGUCGCGUGCGUGAUGACGGCCUGCGGGUUGUGAACCGCUUUCGCCUGUGACGCAGCGUGAGUGACGGUAAUGGGUAAAUAAGCACCGGCUAACUACGUG